This 447-nucleotide ribosomal RNA is filed under the name uncultured bacterium. RNAcentral's name for it is "bacterial SSU rRNA". It matches the Rfam family "Bacterial small subunit ribosomal RNA", at positions 355 to 825 of the family's 1533-position model. The record is from RNAcentral.
UCGGGAAUUUUGGGCAAUGGGGGAAACCCUGACCCAGCAACGCCGCGUGAAGGAUGAAGUAUUUCGGUAUGUAAACUUCGAAAGAAUAGGAAGAAUAAAUGACGGUACUAUUUAUAAGGUCCGGCUAACUACGUGCCAGCAGCCGCGGUAAUACGUAGGGACCAAGCGUUGUUCGGAUUUACUGGGCGUAAAGGGCGCGUAGGCGGCAUGACAAGUCACUUGUGAAAUCUCUGGGCUUAACCCAGAACGGCCAAGUGAUACUGUCGCGCUAGAGUGCAGAAGGGGCAAUCGGAAUUCUUGGUGUAGCGGUGAAAUGCGUAGAUAUCAAGAGGAACACCUGAGGUGAAGACGGGUUGCUGGGCUGACACUGACGCUGAGGCGCGAAAGCUAGGGUAGCAAACGGGAUUAGAUACCCGUGUAGUCCCUGAGCGGGCUGGCAAGGCGCAU